GCUUACCAUGCAAGUCGAACGAUGAAUCCCAGCUUGCUGGGUGGAUUAGUGGCGAACGGGUGAGUAACACGUGAGUAACCUGCCCUCGACUCCAGGAUAAGCCCGGGAAACUGGGUCUAAUACUGGAUAUUCAAUUUCUGCCGCAUGGUGGUUUUUGGAAAGGAUUCUGGUCGAGGAGGGACUCGCGGCCUAUCAGCUUGUUGGUGAGGUAAUGGCUCACCAAGGCGACGACGGGUAGCCGGCCUGAGAGGGUGACCGGCCACACUGGGACUGAGACACGGCCCAGACUCCUACGGGAGGCAGCAGUGGGGAAUAUUGCACAAUGGGCGAAAGCCUGAUGCAGCGACGCCGCGUGAGGGAUGACGGCCUUCGGGUUGUAAACCUCUUUCAGUAGGGAAGAAGCGAAAGUGACGGUACCUGCAGAAGAAGCGCCGGCUAACUACGUGCCAGCAGCCGCGGUAAUACGUAGGGCGCAAGCGUUAUCCGGAAUUAUUGGGCGUAAAGAGCUCGUAGGCGGUUUGUCGCGUCUGCCGUGAAAGUCCGGGGCUUAACUCCGGAUCUGCGGUGGGUACGGGCAGACUAGAGUGCUGUAGGGGAGACUGGAAUUCCUGGUGUAGCGGUGAAAUGCGCAGAUAUCAGGAGGAACACCGAUGGCGAAGGCAGGUCUCUGGGCAGUAACUGACGCUGAGGAGCGAAAGCAUGGGGAGCGAACAGGAUUAGAUACCCUGGUAGUCCAUGCCGUAAACGUUGGGCACUAGAUGUGGGGGACAUUCCACGUUUUCCGCGUCGUAGCUAACGCAUUAAGUGCCCCGCCUGGGGAGUACGGCCGCAAGGCUAAAACUCAAAGGAAUUGACGGGGGCCCGCACAAGCGGCGGAGCAUGCGGAUUAAUUCGAUGCAACGCGAAGAACCUUACCAAGGCUUGACAUGGACCGGAUCGGGCUAGAAAUAGUCUUUCCCUUCGGGGCUGGGUUCACAGGUGGUGCAUGGUUGUCGUCAGCUCGUGUCGUGAGAUGUUGGGUUAAGUCCCGCAACG
This 1035-nucleotide ribosomal RNA is filed under the name Zhihengliuella halotolerans. RNAcentral describes it as "bacterial SSU rRNA". It matches the Rfam family "Bacterial small subunit ribosomal RNA", at positions 46 to 1094 of the family's 1533-position model. The record is from RNAcentral. Lineage: Bacteria; Bacillati; Actinomycetota; Actinomycetes; Micrococcales; Micrococcaceae.